Molecule: long non-coding RNA, 1581 nt
Organism: Solanum stenotomum
Lineage: Eukaryota; Viridiplantae; Streptophyta; Magnoliopsida; Solanales; Solanaceae
Exons: 3
Source: RefSeq, a predicted model, not a curated record
CUCUCUGCCUUUCCCAAUCCUCACAUCUCUCUAAAACAAAAUUUAUGCAGAAAAUUUCAAAUCAAUAAGCCCAACAACUAUUAGAUGCUUCAAAGGUUUAAGGUGAUCUAAAGUUCUCAAUUUAGAGUUAUAGCUCUCAAUCUCUCCCAACUCACUCUCUUUCAAGAUCUAAACGGAUAUAUGCAUGCAUGUCAUUUACAAGUUCGAACCUUUACAACAGAUCUUGUUGAUUGGGUAUUUCGGAUUUCUUGACAUCGCAGGCCAAAUUCGCCCAUGAAUUCUGGCAGAGGAAACUGGAAGAGAACAUGUUUGCAAGUUCUUAAAUUAGUUGUUGAAUUGGACGCUUAGUUAGUCAAAGUCGACAGUUGAAAGAGGCAUAAUAUCAAAAAUGGAAGAAGUCAAAGUUGAUGGUGUGUGAAAUGUGAAGGACCAGUUUCUAAACAUCAUGCAACAAAACUAGCAUAAGAUAAGUUGUUUGGAUAAGAAUUGUAUAUUCUAGGAUGCUCUCUUAAUGUGUCAAAUAAAUGGUACAGAAGAAACUUUAAACUUGAGGUAAUGUUCUAUAUUUAAUGGCUACUUAUGUUCAACUCUCCUUUAUCCGGUAGAUAGAUGAGAUCAAUAAACAUAUUUCUAGAUUUUUCUGACUUAUGCAUAGCAACAGAUUUUUGACAUGUCUCAAACUACCUUAUUAUACUUUUUCAGUAAUUUAAUUUUACUAAUUGACGACUUCUUAUGCUAAUAUUUUUCCACGCUCAUCCAACAUGCUUAGUACUAUAUAGUUAAUGAUGAGAACUUGGUCAAUGUUGAAUAAUCUUAUACAUUUACAGGUAAAAUAAUCUGUCACUUUCUUUACGUUAUCUUAGAUAAAUUUUGCUAUAACUACAUGAUUUCAAAGAUUAUUUGUAAUUUGUAUAUCUACGUCUUUAUGGGUUUGGCAUUUGUUGAAGAACUUUUCUUUUGCAGUGUGAUAUGUUAGUAUAUAAAUGACCUUCUUAUAGGAUUAUUAAAUUGAGAAGGCAGUGACAUUUUUAUGUUUAGGCGAACUCGAAUCAUGUAGUCUACUCCCUGCCUUAAAAGGCUGUUUACAGUGAAUAGAGUACUGACAAUUGAAUGUAUUGAUAACGAAUCAAUUAUGACCGAAAAAUGGAAGAUUGGAACCUAUGAGGAAGAGUGAAUUUUCAAGUUGGAUUAAUAUGUUUGAUAUUCAAAUAUAUUACGUUAUUUGAGAUGAUAUUUUAUCUGUGCAUUUCAAGUUCAUUUUUUUCGACUUAUUUUUGAAAAUUCUUGAUUAUUUGAUGUAAAUAUGAGAUUCAUAUCAAAGGUAUUCUCUUCUACUGUAUGAAAGAAAUUCAUGAGAAUAUUUUCAGUACUUUUGGUAAUAUGAGAUUCAUAUUAAAGAUGGUUUUGUGAUCUUACAAAUUCUUCUCCAAGACCCAUUGAGUCAUCUGCUUCUUCAGUUUAGUAGAAAUUCUUUCAUGGUAUUGCAUGAAACAUUUGCCUAGUCUCUUAUUGCUAUCUGUACUAGCUUGAAAGGUAUGGUUGUUCUCUUUUUCCCCGUCGUCCUUAUCGAGAAUUUCCCCU